ACGGAGGGUGCAAGCGUUAUCCGGAUUUAUUGGGUUUAAAGGGUGCGUAGGCGGUAAGAUAAGUCAGUGGUGAAAAUCUGCAGCUCAACUGUAGUCGUGCCAUUGAAACUGUUUUACUUGAGUAACCAGGAGGUAGGCGGAAUGUGUAGUGUAGCGGUGAAAUGCUUAGAUAUUACACAGAACACCGAUUGCGUAGGCAGCUUACUAUCGGUUCACUGACGCUGAUGCACGAAAGCGUGGGGAUCAAACAGGAUUAGAUACCCUGGUAGUCCACGCCGUAAACGAUGAUAACUCGCUGUUGGCGAUACACAGUCAGCGGCUUAGCGAAAGCGUUAAGUUAUCCACCUGGGGAGUACGCCCGCAAGGGUG
RNAcentral lists this ribosomal RNA (369 nucleotides) under uncultured bacterium. Its description in RNAcentral is "bacterial SSU rRNA". It matches the Rfam family "Bacterial small subunit ribosomal RNA", at positions 525 to 896 of the family's 1533-position model. The record is from RNAcentral.